RNAcentral lists this ribosomal RNA (427 nucleotides) under uncultured beta proteobacterium. RNAcentral's name for it is "bacterial SSU rRNA". It matches the Rfam family "Bacterial small subunit ribosomal RNA", at positions 355 to 774 of the family's 1533-position model. Lineage: Bacteria; Pseudomonadati; Pseudomonadota; Betaproteobacteria. The record is from RNAcentral.
UGGGGAAUUUUGGACAAUGGGCGAAAGCCUGAUCCAGCCAUGCCGCGUGAGUGAAGAAGGCCUUCGGGUUGUAAAGCUCUUUUAGUCGGAAAGAAAGAGUUGCAAUGAAUAAUUGUGAUUUAUGACGGUACCGACAGAAAAAGCACCGGCUAACUACGUGCCAGCAGCAGCGGUAAUACGUAGGGUGCGAGCGUUAAUCGGAAUUACUGGGCGUAAAGGGUGCGCAGGCGGUCUUGCAAGUCAGAUGUGAAAGCCCCGGGCUUAACCUGGGAAUUGCGUUUGAAACUACAAGACUAGAGUGCAGCAGAGGGGAGUGGAAUUCCAUGUGUAGCAGUGAAAUGCGUAGAGAUGUGGAAGAACACCGAUGGCGAAGGCAGCUCCCUGGGUUGACACUGACGCUCAUGCACGAAAGCGUGGGGAGCAAACA